CAAUGAAAGUGUCGGCCAUUCGG
This 23-nucleotide non-coding RNA is filed under the name Arabidopsis thaliana (thale cress). Lineage: Eukaryota; Viridiplantae; Streptophyta; Magnoliopsida; Brassicales; Brassicaceae. The record is from RNAcentral.